Molecule: ribosomal RNA, 392 nt
Filed under: uncultured bacterium
Lineage: Bacteria
Description: bacterial SSU rRNA
Rfam family: Bacterial small subunit ribosomal RNA
Source: RNAcentral
UAGGGAAUAUUAGUAAUGGGCGAAAGCCUGAACUAGCAACGCCGCGUGUGCGAAGAAGGCCUUCGGGUUGUAAAGCACUUUUUGAGAGGAUGAGGAAGGACGGUACUCUCAGAAUAAGUCUCGGCUAACUACGUGCCAGCAGCCGCGGUAACACGUAGGAGGCGAACGUUAUCCGGAUUUACUGGGCGUAAAGCGCGUGUAGGUGGUUUGGUAAGUAGGGCGUGAAAGCUCCUGGCUCAACUGGGAGAGGCCGUUCUAAACUGCCGAACUAGAGGAUGGUAGAGGGAGGUGGAAUUCCGGGUGUAGCGGUGGAAUGCGCAGAUAUCCGGAGGAACACCAGUGGCGAAAGCGGCCUCCUGGACCACUCCUGACACUCAGACGCGAAAGCUAGG